AUAUAUAUUUAUCUUGCUGAAUAGCUUGAAACCAUGGUACAGGAAAUAGAGAGUAAAUGUUUUUAUUUUUCAUUCCCUUUCGAAAU
Octopus sinensis (East Asian common octopus) is the source of this 86-nucleotide long non-coding RNA. RefSeq lists it as uncharacterized. The record is from RefSeq and is a predicted model, not a curated record. The transcript is spliced from 3 exons. Lineage: Eukaryota; Metazoa; Mollusca; Cephalopoda; Octopoda; Octopodidae.